Molecule: long non-coding RNA, 711 nt
Filed under: Homo sapiens (human)
Lineage: Eukaryota; Metazoa; Chordata; Mammalia; Primates; Hominidae
Description: HSALNT0046705
Source: RNAcentral
GUAGUGUGUUGGAGCCAGCUCGGACUAGCUUAGAAGAGUCAACUGUGCACGAUGCUUUUCAACUCUGUCUUCAGGGACUUCAGGAGCACUGCUUAAAACCGGCCUUGGUGAGGAGGGAUUUAUUUCAUUUGCUCCUGAAGUUAAAUCUCAUGAAAUCAUGUGAAAUUCAGUGAUGUGUUACUGGGAACAAAAAGGGUUACGUUAUUAAUUGUGAUGCCUUCCCACAAGAGCUGUGUCUGUACUGUGCCACAUAACCCCUGAAGCUGAAUAAAGAACUUUCUCCUUGAUUCCCCCAGCCCUCCAAAAACAUCAGCAGGUGAUGAGGUCCCAUUGUAAAUGACCCAAGGACAAACAGCUCAUGACUUCAAAGGAGGCCUCUUCAACCCAGGGCAAAUUCAGGCCUUCAUUCCAGGGGUCUGUAAGCAAGUACUGAGUGAAGAGAUAUCCUAAAAUCAAUCGGUAAAUUGCAUGUUUGAAGUAAACUAAAAACCAAAUUUCAGGGUUGAUGCUGGCUUUGGAGGAGAUGGGAAAAUCAUUUGUUUGGAGACAAGAAGCAUGUUAUGCCGGUAGAUGUGUGCACAUAUGCUUCUAUAAGUGGGUACAUGCAUUCCCACUUUUCCUGCCAAGUCUUUAGAAAACCACUUAAGUAAGAAUGGAGAAAUGUAGCAUUGUAGCUUCCCUACAGUUUGUGUUCAUUUUGUUUAUUGCAGU